This 497-nucleotide ribosomal RNA is filed under the name uncultured bacterium. RNAcentral describes it as "partial 16S ribosomal RNA". It matches the Rfam family "Bacterial small subunit ribosomal RNA", at positions 28 to 507 of the family's 1533-position model. The record is from RNAcentral.
GACGAACGCUGGCGGCGUGCCUAAUACAUGCAAGUUGAGCGCUGAAGGUUGGUACUUGUACCGACUGGAUGAGCAGCGAACGGGUGAGUAACGCGUGGGGAAUCUGCCUUUGAGCGGGGGACAACAUUUGGAAACGAAUGCUAAUACCGCAUAAAAACUUUAAACACAAGUUUUAAGUUUGAAAGAUGCAAUUGCAUCAUUCAAAGAUGAUCCCGCGUUGUAUUAGCUAGUUGGUGAGGUAAAGGCUCACCAAGGCGAUGAUACAUAGCCGACCUGAUAGGGUGAUCGGCCAAAAUGGGAAUGAGACACGGACCAAACUACUACGGGAGGCAGCAGUAGGGAAUCGUCGGAAAUGGACGAAAGUCUGACCGAGCAACGCCGAGUGAGUGAAGAAGGUUUUCGGAUCGUAAAACUCUGUUGGUAGAGAAGAACGUUGGUGAGAGUGGAAAGCUCAUCAAGUGACGGUAACUACCCAGAAAGGGACGGCUAACUACGUG